This 127-nucleotide small RNA is filed under the name Marmota monax (woodchuck). Lineage: Eukaryota; Metazoa; Chordata; Mammalia; Rodentia; Sciuridae. The record is from RNAcentral.
GCUGGGCAUAGUGGCGCAGGCCGGUAAUCCCAGCAGCUCUGGAGGCUGGGGCAGGAGGAUCACAAGUUCACGGUCAGCCUCAGAAAUUUAGCAAGGCCAUAAGCAACUCAGUGAGAUUCUGUCUCUA